UACGAAGGGUGCAAGCGUUACUCGGAAUUACUGGGCGUAAAGCGUGCGUAGGUGGUUCGUUAAGUCCGAUGUGAAAGCCCUGGGCUCAACCUGGGAAUGGCAUUGGAUACUGGCGGGCUAGAGUGCGGUAGAGGGUAGUGGAAUUCCCGGUGUAGCAGUGAAAUGCGUAGAGAUCGGGAGGAACAUCCGUGGCGAAGGCGACUACCUGGACCAGCACUGACACUGAGGCACGAAAGCGUGGGGAGCAAACAGG
Molecule: ribosomal RNA, 253 nt
Filed under: uncultured bacterium
Lineage: Bacteria
Also listed under: 1 other name
Description: partial 16S ribosomal RNA
Rfam family: Bacterial small subunit ribosomal RNA
Source: RNAcentral